AACGGCCAUACCGUGCUGAAUAUACCGGUUCUCGUUCGAUCACCGAAGUCAAGCAUCAUUGGGCGCGGUCAGUACUUGGGUGGGUGACCACCUGGGAACACCGCGUGCCGUU
RNAcentral lists this ribosomal RNA (112 nucleotides) under Caerostris darwini. The record is from RNAcentral. Lineage: Eukaryota; Metazoa; Arthropoda; Arachnida; Araneae; Araneidae.